RNAcentral lists this ribosomal RNA (1019 nucleotides) under uncultured bacterium. RNAcentral's name for it is "bacterial SSU rRNA". It matches the Rfam family "Bacterial small subunit ribosomal RNA", at positions 355 to 1375 of the family's 1533-position model. The record is from RNAcentral.
UGAGGAAUAUUGGUCAAUGGACGAGAGUCUGAACCAGCCAAGUAGCGUGCAGGAAGACGGCCCUAUGGGUUGUAAACUGCUUUUAUAAGGGAAUAAAGUUAGUCUCGUGAGACUUUUUGCAUGUACCUUAUGAAUAAGGACCGGCUAAUUCCGUGCCAGCAGCCGCGGUAAUACGGAAGGUCCGGGCGUUAUCCGGAUUUAUUGGGUUUAAAGGGAGCGUAGGCCGGAGAUUAAGCGUGUUGUGAAAUGUAGACGCUCAACGUCUGCACUGCAGCGCGAACUGGUUUCCUUGAGUACGCACAAAGUGGGCGGAAUUCGUGGUGUAGCGGUGAAAUGCUUAGAUAUCACGAAGAACUCCGAUUGCGAAGGCAGCUCACUGGAGCGCAACUGACGCUGAAGCUCGAAAGUGCGGGUAUCGAACAGGAUUAGAUACCCUGGUAGUCUGCACGGUAAACGAUGGAUGCCCGCUGUUGGUCUGAAUAGGUCAGCGGCCAAGCGAAAGCAUUAAGCAUCCCACCUGGGGAGUACGCCGGCAACGGUGAAACUCAAAGGAAUUGACGGGGGCCCGCACAAGCGGAGGAACAUGUGGUUUAAUUCGAUGAUACGCGAGGAACCUUACCCGGGCUUGAAUUGCAGAGGAAGGAUUUGGAGACAAUGACGCCCUUCGGGGCCUCUGUGAAGGUGCUGCAUGGUUGUCGUCAGCUCGUGCCGUGAGGUGUCAGCUUAAGUGCCAUAACGAGCGCAACCCCUCUCCUUAGUUGCCAUCAGGUCAUGCUGGGCACUCUGGGGACACUGCCACCGUAAGGUGUGAGGAAGGUGGGGAUGACGUCAAAUCAGCACGGCCCUUACGUCCGGGGCUACACACGUGUUACAAUGGCAGGUACAGAGAGACGGUCCCUUGCAAAAUGGAUCAAAUCCUUAAAGCCUGUCUCAGUUCGGACUGGGGUCUGCAACCCGACCCCACGAAGCUGGAUUCGCUAGUAAUCGCGCAUCAGCCAUGGCGCGGUGAAUACGUUCCC